RNAcentral lists this ribosomal RNA (251 nucleotides) under uncultured prokaryote. Its description in RNAcentral is "partial 16S rRNA". It matches the Rfam family "Bacterial small subunit ribosomal RNA", at positions 525 to 775 of the family's 1533-position model. The record is from RNAcentral.
ACGUAGGGGGCGAGCGUUGUCCGGAAUUACUGGGCGUAAAGGGUGCGUAGGCGGCCUUUUAAGUUGGAUGUGAAAUACCCGGGCUUAACCUGGGGGGUGCCUUUGAUACUGGGAGGCUUGAGUUCAGGAGAGGGAAGCGGAAUUCCUAGUGUAGCGGUGAAAUGCGUAGAUAUUAGGAGGAACACCAGUGGCGAAGGCGGCUUACUGGACUGAAACUGACGCUGAGGCACGAAAGCGUGGGGAGCAAACAG